ACUCCUACGGGAGGCAGCAGUGGGGAAUCUUGGACAAUGGGGGCAACCCUGAUCCAGCCAUGCCGCGUGAGUGAUGAAGGCCCUAGGGUCGUAAAGCUCUUUCGCCUGUGAAGAUAAUGACGGUAGCAGGUAAAGAAACCCCGGCUAACUCCGUGCCAGCAGCCGCGGUAAUACGGAGGGGUUAGCGUUGUUCGGAAUUACUGGGGCGUAAAGCGCACGUAGGCGGAUCGGAAAGUUGGGGGUGAAAUCCCGGGGCUCAACCCCGGAACUGCCUCCAAACUAUCGGUCUAGAGUUCGAGAGAGGUGAGUGGAAUUCCGAGUGUAGAGGUGAAAUUCGUAGAUAUUCGGAGGAACACCAGUGGCGAAGGCGGCUCACUGGCUCGAUACUGACGCUGAGGUGCGAAAGUGUGGGGAGCAAACAGGAUUAGAUACCCUGGUAGGAUAGCG
This 447-nucleotide ribosomal RNA is filed under the name uncultured bacterium. RNAcentral describes it as "bacterial SSU rRNA". It matches the Rfam family "Bacterial small subunit ribosomal RNA", at positions 335 to 799 of the family's 1533-position model. The record is from RNAcentral.